UGAGGAAUAUUGGUCAAUGGACGAAAGUCUGAACCAGCCAUGCCGCGUGCAGGAUGAAUGCCCUACGGGUUGUAAACUGCUUUUAUAUAGGAAGAAACCCCUUUACGUGUAAAGGGCUGACGGUACUAUACGAAUAAGGACCGGCUAACUCCGUGCCAGCAGCCGCGGUAAUACGGAGGGUCCAAGCGUUAUCCGGAUUCAUUGGGUUUAAAGGGUCCGUAGGCGGGAGAAUAAGUCAGUGGUGAAAUCCUGCAGCUCAACUGUAGAACUGCCAUUGAAACUGUUUUUCUUGAGUAUAGAUGAAGUGGGCGGAAUGUGCCAUGUAGCGGUGAAAUGCAUAGAUAUGACAC
RNAcentral lists this ribosomal RNA (350 nucleotides) under uncultured bacterium. Its description in RNAcentral is "bacterial SSU rRNA". It matches the Rfam family "Bacterial small subunit ribosomal RNA", at positions 355 to 702 of the family's 1533-position model. The record is from RNAcentral.